Molecule: long non-coding RNA, 287 nt
Filed under: Eucalyptus grandis
Lineage: Eukaryota; Viridiplantae; Streptophyta; Magnoliopsida; Myrtales; Myrtaceae
Description: long non-coding RNA (EGRA_LNC004452)
Source: RNAcentral
AAAAUAGAAAAGAAGGAGUUAAUUACUCUUUUUUAAUGAUUUCAUUUUUGUGGAAAACAAAAAGAAAUAAGUAUGAUAAAAAGAAACCGAGUCUUAAGGUAUAAAAAAAAUCGAAUAUUCCAUCACACUAUUUUCUAGUUUGUUCUUUUUUCGACAGUACCCUUAAAUAAUAAAAUUUUUCAUCCCCUCUCUCUAAGGAGAAGUUGGAUCUUUCUUUGGAUUAAAAACAAAACGGGACGCAUAUAUUAAAAGUUCCGUGUUCAAUUUUAAUGAGAUAGAUUGUUUAA